Molecule: long non-coding RNA, 324 nt
Filed under: Elaeis guineensis (African oil palm)
Lineage: Eukaryota; Viridiplantae; Streptophyta; Magnoliopsida; Arecales; Arecaceae
Description: long non-coding RNA (EGUI_LNC019680)
Source: RNAcentral
UGCGAGAGCCUGCUACUCACCUUUUCAUCAUCGCACGCUACUUCCAUCCUCCUCCUCCUCCACCCACCUCUCCAUUGCUUGCCUCUUUGUGCCGCAUGCCACCUCCUUUUUUUUCUCCUCUUCUGUCCAUCUCUCCAUCGCUUGGCUUCCCGCUGCUGCAUACCAUCCCCUUCCUCAUCCUCUUCCACCUCCACUCUUCUUCCUCUGCUCUUGCAAAGUCCCAAGCUCCCCCUCCUCUGCAAUGGUGUGAACACCCCAAUCCCCCUCCCUCCUCCUCUCUCUUCUUUUCGUCCACCCUUGGUGAUAACCCCAUCACCUCCCUCC